Molecule: ribosomal RNA, 482 nt
Filed under: uncultured bacterium
Lineage: Bacteria
Description: partial 16S ribosomal RNA
Rfam family: Bacterial small subunit ribosomal RNA
Source: RNAcentral
AUUGAACGCUGGCGGCAUGCCUUACACAUGCAAGUCGAACGGUAACGGGCCUUCGGGUGCCGACGAGUGGCGAACGGGUGAGUAAUACAUCGGAACGUGCCCGAUCGUGGGGGAUAACGAGGCGAAAGCUUUGCUAAUACCGCAUACGAUCUACGGAUGAAAGCCGGGGACCGCAAGGCCUUGCGCGGGCGGAGCGGCCGAUGGCUGAUUAGGUAGUUGGUGGGAUAAAAGCUUACCAAGCCGACGAUCUGUAGCUGGUCUGAGAGGAUGAUCGGCCACACUGGAACUGAGACACGGCCAAGACUCCUACGGGAGGCAGCAGUGGGGAAUUUUGGACAAUGGGGGCAAGCCUGAUCCAGCCAUGCCGCGUGCAGGAUGAAGGCCUUCGGGUUGUAAACUGCUUUUGUACGGAACGAAAAGCCUUCUUUUAAUACAGGAGGGUCAUGACGGUACCGUAAGAAUAAGCACCGGCUAACUACGUG